GUGGGGAAUAUUGGACAAUGGGCGCAAGCCUGAUCCAGCCACGCCGCGUGAGUGAUGAAGGCCUUAGGGUUGUAAAGCUCUUUCAGUGGGGACGAUAAUGACGGUACCCACAGAAGAAGCCCCGGCUAACUUCGUGCCAGCAGCCGCGGUAAUACGAAGGGGGCUAGCGUUGUUCGGAUUUACUGGGCGUAAAGCGCACGUAGGCGGAUCGUUAAGUCGGGGGUGAAAUCCUGGAGCUCAACUCCAGAACUGCCUUCGAUACUGGCGAGCGUGAGUCCGGAAGAAGUGAGUGGAACUCCUAGUGUAGAGGUGGAAUUCGUGGAUAUUAGGAAGAACACCAGUGGCGAAGGCGGCUCACUGGUCCGGUACUGACGCUGAGGUGCGAAAGCGUGGGGAGCAAACAGGAUUAGAUACCCCAGUAGUCC
RNAcentral lists this ribosomal RNA (425 nucleotides) under uncultured bacterium. Its description in RNAcentral is "partial 16S ribosomal RNA". It matches the Rfam family "Bacterial small subunit ribosomal RNA", at positions 354 to 796 of the family's 1533-position model. The record is from RNAcentral.